GUUUAAAGUGUCUGUAACAUAAGAAACGAUUAUGCCGAUAGCAUUGCCUCAAUCAGAAUUCACAUCACAUGUUUCACAAGUUGCAUUAUUCAAUCUCUGUAAGUUGCAUCCAGGCCACAUGGAACACAGCACGCACCACACGGUAACUAAAUUUCGUCAAGUUUAUUCAAUAACUUAGCUUUAGCGACCAAGGACCAAUAAUCUUUAUGAUCAUUUUAGCUCUGCCAGUGCUGUUUUAACGUUUCGUGAUAUCCGAUCAUGUACCGGUUCCUCUGACAAUGGCACCUCAAAUUUGGAUUUGGUUAUUGUCUCGUACAAGAAAAUAUAUCGCCAUGACAGUUCACGGACAAGCCCUUCAGGAGCAUCUGGGAGAACCUCAUCUUCAUAUGGAUUGCAAUUAUCUU
RNAcentral lists this unclassified non-coding RNA (404 nucleotides) under Hevea brasiliensis (rubber tree). Lineage: Eukaryota; Viridiplantae; Streptophyta; Magnoliopsida; Malpighiales; Euphorbiaceae. The record is from RNAcentral.